GAAGGUAUAGCUCAGUAGUAGAGUGCAUGCUUAGCAUGCACAGGUGCUGGGUUCAGUCCCCAGUACCUCCA
This 71-nucleotide transfer RNA is filed under the name Camelus bactrianus (Bactrian camel). It matches the Rfam family "tRNA". From Rfam's summary of the family: Transfer RNA (tRNA) molecules are approximately 80 nucleotides in length. Their secondary structure includes four short double-helical elements and three loops (D, anti-codon, and T loops). Further hydrogen bonds mediate the characteristic L-shaped molecular structure. tRNAs have two regions of fundamental functional importance: the anti-codon, which is responsible for specific mRNA codon recognition, and the 3' end, to which the tRNAs corresponding amino acid is attached (by aminoacyl-tRNA synthetases). tRNAs cope with the degeneracy of the genetic code in two manners: having more than one tRNA (with a specific anti-codon) for a particular amino acid; and 'wobble' base-pairing, i.e. permitting non-standard base-pairing at the 3rd anti-codon position. RNAcentral also lists the same sequence under 2 other names. The record is from Rfam by way of RNAcentral. Lineage: Eukaryota; Metazoa; Chordata; Mammalia; Artiodactyla; Camelidae.